RNAcentral lists this transfer RNA (73 nucleotides) under Acaryochloridaceae cyanobacterium SU_2_1. RNAcentral describes it as "tRNA-Val". It matches the Rfam family "tRNA". Rfam says of the family: Transfer RNA (tRNA) molecules are approximately 80 nucleotides in length. The record is from RNAcentral. Lineage: Bacteria; Bacillati; Cyanobacteriota; Cyanophyceae; Acaryochloridales; Acaryochloridaceae.
GGGCGAUUAGCUCAGUUGGUAGAGCGCUUCGUUUACACCGAAGAUGUCGACGGUUCGAGUCCGCCAUCGCCCA